Molecule: ribosomal RNA, 484 nt
Filed under: uncultured bacterium
Lineage: Bacteria
Description: partial 16S ribosomal RNA
Rfam family: Bacterial small subunit ribosomal RNA
Source: RNAcentral
AUUGAACGCUGGCGGCAGGCCUAACACAUGCAAGUCGAGCGGAUGAAGGGAGCUUGCUCCUGGAUUCAGCUGCGGACGGGUGAGUAAUGCCUAGGAAUCUGCCUGGUAGUGGGGGAUAACGUCCGUAAACGGGCGCUAAUACCGCAUACGUCCUGAGGGAGAAAGUGGGGGAUCUUCGGACCUCACGCUAUCAGAUGAGCCUAGGUCGGAUUAGCUAGUUGGUUGGGUAAAGGCCUACCAAGGCGACGAUCCGUAACUGGUCUGAGAGGAUGAUCAGUCACACUGGAACUGAGACACGGUCCAGACUCCUACGGGAGGCAGCAGUGGGGAAUAUUGGACAAUGGGCGAAAGCCUGAUCCAGCAAUGCCGCGUGUGUGAAGAAGGUCUUCGGAUUGUAAAGCACUUUAAGUUGGGAGGAAGAGCAGUAAGUUAAUACCUUGCUGUUUUGACGUUACCAAAAGAAUAAGCACCGGCUAACUUCGUG